UCAAAAUAAAGAUUACAACAACAGUUAAUCGACAAAAAUAGUUUCAUUACAUAAAGAUAGAUCUAUAUAUCCCAAAUUACAACUAGUUCACCAAAAAAAUUGUCUCAUGACCAAUUCAAAUACAGGAAUUAAUGGAACAUCCUAGUCAUCUUCACCUGCUCCAUCUGUUUCACUUUCUAACUCAUCUUCAGCUUGUUCAUCAUCAUCUUAGCAACUGAUUUCUUCUUCAUGUUACCUAUAUGUAAAUUUUCAAUAUCACAUCAUUUGAAUCUUACGAUCCGAAUAAGAAAAAUAAGCCCCAAUUCCAGCAAACAGAUAUGACCAGAUGACAAUCGACUACAAAUUUAUUUAUAAAUAUUAGGUCGCCAGACUGAUAAAAAUUUAAAAUACAAAUCCCAAAGCUAGUCGACAAGAAAAUAUGAUCACACAUGCCAUAUAAGAUAUGGUUAUACACAACUAAAUCGAAAUUACAAAUGCAAAUAUACGAAUCCCUCUACAAACUCCAAAUCACAGUUGUAAGAAACGAAAAAAAAAAUAAGAAUUUAGGAUUUACCCAAAAUUGAAAAUUUCUGAGGAAAUAUACAGUACUUGUUGGGUCUAUAUAGACGAUUUAAUAUAAAAUCAAAGUUUGACUCUUGUCGAAGGCCGUUGGAAACCACCAUGGUCGAGUGGGUGUGAGAGAAGAGAGAAAAGAAAGAGAAAUGGCAGAAAAAUGAAGGAAAUAAAGGUUUUCAAAGGUUAAUAACUGACCCAUAAGUUUUUAAAAUAUUAAAAAGGCUCCAACCCCUUAAUCCACUCAUUUAGU
RNAcentral lists this long non-coding RNA (805 nucleotides) under Nicotiana tabacum (common tobacco). RNAcentral's name for it is "long non-coding RNA (NTAB_LNC015426)". The record is from RNAcentral. Lineage: Eukaryota; Viridiplantae; Streptophyta; Magnoliopsida; Solanales; Solanaceae.